UACGAAGGGGGCUAACGUUGUUCGGAAUUACUGGGCGUAAAGGGCGCGCAGGCGGUUUUGUAAGUCUGUCGUGAAAUCCCCGGGCUCAACCUGGGAAUUGCGAUGGAGACUGCAAGGCUAGAAUCUGGCAGAGGGGGGUAGAAUUCCACGUGUAGCAGUGAAAUGCGUAGAGAUGUGGAGGAACACCGAUGGCGAAGGCAGCCCCCUGGGUCAAGAUUGACGCUCAUGCACGAAAGCGUGGGGAGCAAACAGG
This 253-nucleotide ribosomal RNA is filed under the name uncultured bacterium. RNAcentral's name for it is "partial 16S ribosomal RNA". It matches the Rfam family "Bacterial small subunit ribosomal RNA", at positions 524 to 776 of the family's 1533-position model. The record is from RNAcentral.